Molecule: ribosomal RNA, 906 nt
Filed under: uncultured bacterium
Lineage: Bacteria
Description: bacterial SSU rRNA
Rfam family: Bacterial small subunit ribosomal RNA
Source: RNAcentral
AGAGUUUGAUCAUGGCUCAGAUUGAACGCUGGCGGCAGGCCUAACACAUGCAAGUCGAGCGGUAACAGGCCCUUCGGGGCGCUGACGAGCGGCGGACGGGUGAGUACUGCAUAGGAAUCUACCCGGUAGUGGGGGAUAACCUGGGGAAACUCAGGCUAAUACCGCAUACGUCCUACGGGAGAAAGCAGGGGCCUUUUGGCCUUGCGCUAUCGGAUGAGCCUAUGCCGGAUUAGCUGGUUGGUGAGGUAAUGGCUCACCAAGGCGACGAUCCGUAGCUGGUCUGAGAGGAUGAUCAGCCACAUCGGGACUGAGACACGGCCCGAACUCCUACGGGAGGCAGCAGUGGGGAAUAUUGGACAAUGGGGGCAACCCUGAUCCAGCCAUGCCGCGUGUGUGAAGAAGGCCUUCGGGUUGUAAAGCACUUUCAGCGAGGAAGAACGCCUGGCGGUUAAUACCCGCCAGGAAAGACAUCACUCGCAGAAGAAGCACCGGCUAACUCCGUGCCAGCAGCCGCGGUAAUACGGAGUGUGCGAGCGUUAAUCGGAAUUACUGGGCGUAAAGCGCGCGUAGGCGGCGUGAUAAGCCGGUUGUGAAAGCCCUGGGCUCAACCUGGGAACUGCAUCCGGAACUGUCAGGCUAGAGUGCAGGAGAGGAAGGUAGAAUUCCCGGUGUAGCGGUGAAAUGCGUAGAGAUCGGGAGGAAUACCAGUGGCGAAGGCGGCCUUCUGGACUGACACUGACGCUGAGGUGCGAAAGCGUGGGUAGCAAACAGGAUUAGAUACCCUGGUAGUCCACGCCGUAAACGAUGUCGACCAGCCGUUGGGUGCCUUGAGCACUUUGUGGCGAAGUUAACGCGAUAAGUCGACCGCCUGGGGAGUACGGCCGCAAGGUUAAAACUCAAAUGAAU